RNAcentral lists this ribosomal RNA (863 nucleotides) under uncultured bacterium. RNAcentral describes it as "bacterial SSU rRNA". It matches the Rfam family "Bacterial small subunit ribosomal RNA", at positions 95 to 954 of the family's 1533-position model. The record is from RNAcentral.
GCGGCGGACGGGUGAGUAAUGCCUAGGAAUCUGCCCGAUAGUGGGGGACAACGUUUCGAAAGGAACGCUAAUACCGCAUACGUCCUACGGGAGAAAGCAGGGGGCCUUCGGGCCUUGCGCUAUCGGAUGAGCCUAGGUCGGAUUAGCUAGUUGGUGGGGUAAAGGCUCACCAAGGCGACGAUCCGUAACUGGUCUGAGAGGAUGAUCAGUCACACUGGAACUGAGACACGGUCCAGACACCUACGGGAGGCAGCAGUGGGGAAUAUUGGACAAUGGGCGAAAGCCUGAUCCAGCCAUGCCGCGUGUGUGAAGAAGGUCUUCGGAUUGUAAAGCACUUUAAGCUGGGAGGAAGGGCAGUAAGCUAAUACCUUGCUGUUUUGACGUUACCAGCAGAAUAAGCACCGGCUAACUUCGUGCCAGCAGCCGCGGUAAUACGAAGGGUGCAAGCGUUAAUCGGAAUUACUGGGCGUAAAGCGCGCGUAGGUGGUUCAGCAAGUUGGAUGUGAAAGCCCCGGGCUCAACCUGGGAACUGCAUCCAAAACUACUGAGCUAGAGUACGGUAGAGGGUGGUGGAAUUUCCUGUGUAGCGGUGAAAUGCGUAGAUAUAGGAAGGAACACCAGUGGCGAAGGCGACCACCUGGACUGAUACUGACACUGAGGUGCGAAAGCGUGGGGAGCAAACAGGAUUAGAUACCCUGGUAGUCCACGCCGUAAACGAUGUCAACUAGCUGUUGGGUUCCUUGAGAACUUAGUAGCGAAGCUAACGCGAUAAGUUGACCGCCUGGGGAGUACGGCCGCAAGGUUAAAACUCAAAUGAAUUGACGGGGGCCCGCACAAGCGGUGGAGCAUGUGGUUUAAUUCGA